AUGUCAUUACGUAAUUUUUGCAUGGUUUGUAGAAUACCCUUUGAGGAUAGCUUAGAUGAACCACAUCGUAAAGAUGUGGAUGGUUUCGUUGAUACUAUUACUGUAGGGGAAUCGAAGAAGGGUUCCGAUGCGAGAAUCACUAGCAUACACUUUCCUGUUUUACGCUACUUUGCCAUAUUUGCUAGUCGAUGCUUAAUUGGUCAUGGAAAUAGUGGAAACCUCAGUGUUCCUGAUAAUAUUAUUCUGCUCCAUGCCUUAUUCGGUGAUAACACUUUUAGUAUGGGUGUCGUUAUUGCUAAACGGUUAAGUCUAAACUGUACAAAGGGCCCCAUCUUUGGAGGCAUCUAUGUUGCACGCCUUGCUAAAUACUUCGAGAUGCCUAUUAGACAUGAUGAGGAAGAUGAGACGGUGCUGCUUCUUACCCUUUUAGAUUACAGGAGCAUGGUAGCACAUGAGUUUAUUAUUGACAACGAUGAUAAGAUGCUUCUGUAUAACCUGAGAUUUAAUAAGAAACACAAUAAGACCAUGCCUGCACCUUCUUUGUUUGAUUUAACUGCAAGUCAUUACCUUGUCUUGCCGGAAGCAGUGUACGCGUACCGAGGCCAGACAUCAGCUCCAGAGCCUGAGCCGAAACCACCACUAGACCCAUAUCGUCCAUCAUCUUAUCAGUGGGAUCUGGAGGAGAUCGUCAACCGGUGGCAGUACGAUGACACUCCUCAGUACAUCGGGGAGAGUAGCCGCGAUCCAUGGACAUAG
RNAcentral lists this ribosomal RNA (756 nucleotides) under Triticum aestivum (bread wheat). Its description in RNAcentral is "partial small subunit ribosomal RNA". The record is from RNAcentral. Lineage: Eukaryota; Viridiplantae; Streptophyta; Magnoliopsida; Poales; Poaceae.